AGGAGUGUAGCUCAAUUGGUAGAGCGCUGGUCUCCAAAACCAGAGGUUAUAGGUUCAAUUCCUAUCUCUCCUG
This 73-nucleotide transfer RNA is filed under the name Wolbachia pipientis. Its description in RNAcentral is "tRNA-Trp". It matches the Rfam family "tRNA". Rfam says of the family: Transfer RNA (tRNA) molecules are approximately 80 nucleotides in length. Their secondary structure includes four short double-helical elements and three loops (D, anti-codon, and T loops). Further hydrogen bonds mediate the characteristic L-shaped molecular structure. tRNAs have two regions of fundamental functional importance: the anti-codon, which is responsible for specific mRNA codon recognition, and the 3' end, to which the tRNAs corresponding amino acid is attached (by aminoacyl-tRNA synthetases). tRNAs cope with the degeneracy of the genetic code in two manners: having more than one tRNA (with a specific anti-codon) for a particular amino acid; and 'wobble' base-pairing, i.e. permitting non-standard base-pairing at the 3rd anti-codon position. The record is from RNAcentral. RNAcentral also lists the same sequence under 1 other name. Lineage: Bacteria; Pseudomonadati; Pseudomonadota; Alphaproteobacteria; Rickettsiales; Anaplasmataceae.